AGAUAAUGAAAAUAAAGAGAUUAUGAAUGAACUUUUUUCGGAAGGUGAAUAUGUCAAUGACUCAACUCUUUACAAAAGUAAAUUGUUUAAUAAUGAGUGUUUUUUUAGUUGGGACUAGUGCAGAGAUGACAGAGAAAAUGUUUGAGGGAGAGAGAUGAAGGAGGUAAAUAAGGGUUUGGGGUUUCUUUUUUUAGUUUUGAGAAUGAAAAUUUCAAUUGGGGCUAGAGUAGGGAUGACAAGAAAAAGUUGGAGUGAAAGAGAUUAAAGAGAAAGAGUUGAGAGGAAUGAGAGAGGUGGGUAAGGGUUUUGGGGGUUUCUUUUUUUAUUUUUUUAAUUUUGAGAAUGAAAAUUAUUAAAAUACCCUUAACCUUAAAACUUAGAAUUCAUGAUAUAUAAGGGUAUUUUUGUCUACUGAAACCCGGUACACAUUGUUAA
This 435-nucleotide long non-coding RNA is filed under the name Vigna radiata. RNAcentral describes it as "long non-coding RNA (VRAD_LNC014931)". Lineage: Eukaryota; Viridiplantae; Streptophyta; Magnoliopsida; Fabales; Fabaceae. The record is from RNAcentral.